UUUUGUUGUGUACUUUUUAAAUUCUUGCUAUUUCAUAUAACUCCGCAAUUUAAUUUUUUUACCUCUAAAAGGAAUAAAACCUGGUCUUUAAAGGUAUGCCUAAUAACUAAAGAUUAUCGUUUUACUUACAACAAUUGGUUGGUGGCACGGGCUUUAACUAAGAUGGGCUCUCGUUUAUCAGUGGAUGGGGGAUUUUUAAUUAUUUAUAUGGCCUCCCAUCCCGUUAACGCAAUCGCUUACAGGCUAUGGUCGCAAGUGAAAAUUACUGCGUAGUUUUUUCAAUCGCAGAAGAAGUUUCUAACGUUGUAGCACUGCCGCCUUACUGAAGUUUAAAAUGUUUGCCAAGUGCUAUCAGCGAGUGCUCAAUAUCCUAGAACUAAUAAACUUCAGAGUCGAGUACUUUAACAUACUAUUCUCCAGGUUCGACUCAAUCUCUAUGUAAUAUUGUUUUAAGCAAAUCUGGAAAGCUUGGGAUAACUUAGUUACCUAGCCGGUAGUUUGUUAGACGAGCCUUAGGAACUAUACCUGUAUUAAAAGCUUUUUAGCUGUAGAUGACAUGCUUCGCAUAUUACAUUUUCAGAAAGGACUGCUUGGAAAGAUAAAUAAAAAAAAGAAUAGAGC
Molecule: long non-coding RNA, 621 nt
Organism: Zophobas morio
Lineage: Eukaryota; Metazoa; Arthropoda; Insecta; Coleoptera; Tenebrionidae
Exons: 5
Source: RefSeq, a predicted model, not a curated record